Non-coding RNA from Gossypium raimondii (Peruvian cotton), 106 nucleotides. NCBI's taxonomy places the organism in Eukaryota, Viridiplantae, Streptophyta, Magnoliopsida, Malvales, Malvaceae. The record is from Rfam.
AUUCCAUGAUGAGGGCACUUUCGUAAUAAUUCUUUGUACCUUUCCCAUCCUCAUACAAGGACCCGUCAUCCAUUUGUUGGAAAGUAGUGAUCUCGUUCCUCAACUU